RNAcentral lists this long non-coding RNA (708 nucleotides) under Cricetulus griseus (Chinese hamster). Its description in RNAcentral is "lncRNA (ENSCGRG00015040185.1)". The record is from RNAcentral. Lineage: Eukaryota; Metazoa; Chordata; Mammalia; Rodentia; Cricetidae.
AUUUUAGACUUGGAGCAAUGGAUUACCACCCUACAGUCCACACUGCCAGAAAAGGGACAGUGAGGCCUUCCAUGUGGCAUCUCCAAAGUCUGUCAUAUCAUUUGGAGCAGAGCCUAGAUCCUCCCCUGUGUGUCUAGUCUGGGAGAAUAUCCCUCCAUGUUGAGAGGACUCCAAAAGUCCAUUUGUGUACUAGGGGUGGAGGUGAGACUGGCAUUGUGAUGUUGGCAGACUCUGGAUGGCUUGGUCUGCUGGGACGGGUUCCCCUGUUCACAGUCCCCAGCCCUCAAGAAGUUCUGUGCAGGGCCAGAAGCAGGCCAAUGCUUGUCUCCUCCCAUGCAGGGAGGAGGGACUAUCGCCACAAUACUGGCCAACUCUGGAUGGCCUGGUCCGCCAGAACAUGUUCCACCUGUGGUGAGUCCCCAGGCUUCAGCAGGCUCUGAGCAGGACACCGGGCUGAAAUAGCUUCUUUAUGUUUAUAAUGCUAUAUUUCCCUUGUAAUGUGCUGCCUGAAUCUUUCUUCUUAAGGCUAGCAAUCAGAUUGAAAGGAAGCUCUGAGGAUGCAAUGCAUCCUUAGAAAAGAAUAUCAGGAGCUACACUAAUCCAGAUCGCCCCUAGUCUACAUGCUGUUAUCUUGUCUCAACCCCAGUGGACCUCUGCCACUCAAGAGCAGGCCACACCAACCAUGAGUGACUUUCUUGCCACAGAACU